AUGGGAUUGGCUACCAUGGAAACGGUGAAGACAGAAGAGCACCAGCAGCAUUUCACAGGGGCUAGGACUAAAAAAGACAUUCUGCAUAGAGAAGGUAAUUGAAAGACAUUUACAUCACAGCGGAUAGCUUCCAUGCAUUCCUGCCAUUCCAAGACAACACAUUCCUGGCAUAGGCUGCAACAAGCCUCCACAUGCACCAGUGAUACACAGCAGAGCAGGCAUUGUCAGAAGGAUUGGAAAUGAAUCUUUAUGAACAAGGAGUCUUUAUCACCCUUGUUAAAUGUUAUUUUCAUGCAACUUCCUCAAGGGGAGAUGACUCAGCGAGAGAGUAAACCAUAAUGCUCCAUUGACACCAGUGGCCAUAUGUGCUGGUAAUCAGCCUGAAGGCAGCAGAGACAGUUCAGAGAAUCAGCAUGGCCAUGUGAACUUCAUCCUUUACCCUGGAGACUGAGUACUUCUGUAGUCCACUGCUGCCAGAUAGCAGUGGAGACCUGAAAUGGACCUGGAAUGCUUGCUGUGGAGACACUGGAAAAUCUGGGAAAAGUCAAGGUUUGCAUCUUGCCAUGGAUAAAAGAAGCCUGGACAACUACAUUAAUGAUAGCCAGGAAACCACAAACAGCAGGAAAAAACACAGCAGAGACCUCACAAACAACACUGGGCAAGGAGGAGGGGUAGGGGAUGGGAAAGAAGGGGUUAAACAUGCCAAGUUCACAGUAAUUUCUGUUGAGUAGAAUCACAAGGUUUGGGUUAGACCUUAAAGUUCAUCCAGUUCCAACCACUCUUCCAUGGGCAGGGACACCUUUCACUAGACCAGGUUGCUGAGAUCCAACAUCGCCAGGAAUUGGUGAUGAACACUGAACAUUGCCAGGAAUGGAGCAUCCACAACUUCUCCAGGCAAUCUGUUCACCAGCCUCACAGUAAAGAAUUCCCUGCUGCUACCUGUGCUGUUCUCCUUUGUCCUGUCACUACACUGCCUGGUAAAGAGUGCCUCCACAUAUUUCCUGUAGGUCCUCCUCAAGUAAUGGAAGGCUGCCACAGGACUGCCCUGGACUACAUAUUUAUAAAAUAUAUU
Non-coding RNA from Cyanistes caeruleus (blue tit), 1072 nucleotides. The record is from RefSeq and is a predicted model, not a curated record. Lineage: Eukaryota; Metazoa; Chordata; Aves; Passeriformes; Paridae.